Molecule: ribosomal RNA, 459 nt
Filed under: Xenococcus sp. HSC23
Lineage: Bacteria; Bacillati; Cyanobacteriota; Cyanophyceae; Pleurocapsales; Xenococcaceae
Description: bacterial SSU rRNA
Rfam family: Bacterial small subunit ribosomal RNA
Source: RNAcentral
AGCUCGCGUCCGAUUAGCUAGUUGGUGGGGUAAGAGCCUACCAAGGCAGCGAUCGGUAGCUGGUCUGAGAGGAUGAGCAGCCACACUGGGACUGAGACACGGCCCAGACUCCUACGGGAGGCAGCAGUGGGGACUUCUCCGCAAUGGGCGAAAGCCUGACGGAGCAAUACCGCGUGAGGGAGGAAGGCUUUUGGGUUGUAAACCUCUUUUCUCAAGGAAGAAGCCAGUGACGGUACUUGAGGAAUCAGCAUCGGCUAACUCCGUGCCAGCAGCCGCGGUAAUACGGAGGAUGCAAGCGUUAUCCGGAAUCAUUGGGCGUAAAGCGUCCGCAGGUGGCGUAUCAAGUCUGCUGUCAAAGACUAGAGCUCAACUCUGGAAAGGCGGUGGAAACUGGUAGGCUAGAGUACGGUAGGGGUAGAGGGAAUUCCCAGUGUAGCGGUGAAAUGCGUAGAUAUUGGG